CCCUGGGUCAUAAGAUACAAGGCAGGAAGGAAGUCAUCAAGGUUUUAACACCUGAAAGUGGUUAAUGCCUCAGUUCCUAGAGUUCCUGCCAUUGCCACACACUCUACCCCUAGCACUGUGUGGGGCACAUGGACAGCACAUGGGGAACCUGUGAUUGGGUCUCUGCUCUCCAGGAAUGUCUAGCACGCAGGCAACAUCACAAAGGAGGGCAGGACUGGCUGUGGGGUGCAGUGGACUGCAAAGGGGGAGAUAGGACAGAGGCUUUUAGCAACUAGGGGAAGUUUCACGAGGAGGAGGGGCUGACACCUGAAGCAGAGAUGAGAGUCCAACAGGCAGCAGGUGGGCGGGGAUCUGUGUCUGCAGAAGUUCAGCGGUGAAGGCUACACCAGGAAAUCUCAAGAGACAGAAAAGAUCAACUACACUGGAGCUGGGGGGACGUGAAGGAGAAAAAAGCAAACAGGGGCUGAGCAGCUGCUCCUUCCAUUCAUGGAUCAUUGAGGUCUCUGGCUGCCCUGUGUGGUUCUUUCCUUGACAUCACUUGGAUCCCUUCAUAGCUCACCAGGUCUUACUUGGAGCCAGCUAUUUGAAGCCUGGUAAGUAGAGAGCGAGAGAAAACGCCAGCAGGCAACAAGUCUGAGGAUGGCUUUGGGCUUGAUUGAGUAGUGCUUUUCUUCUUUCUUCCUCCACUAGUUUUAGAACAUGAGCUUCAGAAUGUGACAGAGCCCGCAUCAAACCCCAGCGUUGCCCCUUAGCAGACGUGAGGCCCUGGGCCAGCGCCUUGUCUCUCCAUUUUCUGCCCUUAUCUGUAAAAUGAGGCAAUAGUGUCCAUGCCUCAGGGUUGUUGUGAGAUGUAGGUGAGAGAUUAAAACCGUAGCCCAUUGUCAGGCACACAGUACAUGUUCAAUGCAUGGUUGCUAUUCUCAUAAGUUCAUUUAUUAAAAAGUUGGCCAAAUAUCAGGCUGUACUCACGUAACUAAAAUUUAUUUACUGUUCAUGGCCAGAGUGAUAGGUUUUGAACUUUGCUUUCUUCAUUUCUUCUCUUGUCUCUUAGCACAUUUAAAGGUCAUAAAUAAGAAAUUUAAAUUGAGGCCUUCUAAAGUUGCUGAGGUAUGCUUAAAAAGUGAAUUUGUUGCAUACACAGUGAGUAGUAUUUGAGUGUUUGCUAGACAGGGACAGAGUUUUAAACUUCUUAAAGUUUUUUUUGGGUGGGGGAGAAGUUGCAUCCUAAGAGAAGCAACAAAGAAGCCACUUAAAGAGGUAGGAGGUGGCAGUAAUUUUUAGAGCUAGGAGGGAAUUUAAGGAGGGCAUUUAGAGGACAUUUACCCUCUCCUCUUACUGAUGUAGGAACUGAGGCCCCAACAGGUAGACUAAGCUGCCCUACGACCCAGGACCAGUCAACACCAGAGCAGGGAUUAGAACCCAGACUGCUGGGCUGCUGGGUCCACUCUCUGCUGUCUUUCCACAAUAGCAUGCUUCCCCACCCCUGGUGAUGAGUUAAGAUGAACGCACUGGUGUAUAAUGAGCUGUCGUCGUCUUCGUCCUCCUCCUCUUCCUCCUCUUCUCUUGUAUACAGGCAAGAAGAGUCUUCGUAGUCUGACUCAUGAGGCACAUUUUCUUUAUUGUCAUCACAUUCAAUCACAACAGUUGGCACUUGUCUUAUUUCUGGAAGGCCCAUAGGUCCUGCUUUGGUGACCCCAUCACCCGAGUGCAACCCAGAGCUGUGGUAAGAAGUGGAACAGGGGACCCGCUGCUCAGAGCUGUUUAAAGACAAGGAGGAAAGAGGAAAUUCACUUUGGCUAACGUGCUAUAUAAAUGCAUCAAAACCAUUUUAAAACUCAGUUGCCCAGUCCUAAGAGACAAAGGGUCUACUGGGCAAGUAAAGUUCCAUUGCUCAUCUUACAGGGAAUCACUUUAAGACGGCACGGUGUCCUGAUGGGAAUAGUGGCUAAGAUGGCACGGUUUCCUGAUGGGAAUAGUGGUUAAGAUGGCAUGGUUUCCUGAUGGGAAUAGUGGCGUGGGAUAGGAAAUAAUAAAUCCGGCUCCUCGUGGGUGGUGUGAUGGUUGCACAAUGAUGUGAACGUACUUAAUGCCAUUGAACUGUAUGCUUUAGAAUGGUUAAGAUGGCAAAUUUUAUGUUAUCUGUAUUUACCAUAAUUAAAAAAAAUUAAAAGCAAGGGUAAAGGAUUAAUUUGAUAGUGAAGCUACAGAUUCAGGAGAGAAAGAUAAUAAUUGAGGUUCUAGUUUUCUAAAGCUACACAGGGCGACUAAUAGGGACUGAGUGUGUGAAAGACUGAAAUGCUGUGGCUGGAGAUGCUGAGAAAGGGAAGAGCGGGAUGGACACAAGGCUGGAGACCCAUGCAUGACAUUGUUAGCGAUGACCUAGAGAAAGUUCUCUCCCACAGGGAGCCACAGAUUAACUGGAAGUGGAAUUUAUAUCUUUCAUUUAAGGAAUUUCUAAAUACAGGAAACUCAAUGCAUUUUACCAUCCAAAAGUGUUUGACAUGCCUAAGGAAAUGGAGCAUGAGGUUAUAUUAUAUAUCAGGAGGCAUCUAGUGGUGUGCUGCAGGGAUGUGGUGCUCUGGACUUGGUUAGCAUCUUUAUCAAUGGCAAUGACAAAAAGGGCAUCCUCAAUGAAUAACUGAAAGAGUUGAAGGAGAGAAGGAAAGAAGGGAGAGUGAAUAGAGAGAACAUUUACUAAAUGUGUAAUUUUCACACACAGUGUUGCAUUUCACCUUUCCAGCAACCGUAUGGGACAGGUGCUGUUCUCCCCAUUUUAUGAAGCAGGAAAUUGAAGCUCUGAAAGGGUAAUGAAUAGGCCCACAAGGACACAGUUGGUAAAGGAAGGGCUUGAAAUUUGAACCUACUGUAUUACAAAUUCUGCAUGCAAAAGUUGAACUGUGAUACUUAUGAGAUGUGUCCUUUGAUAAAACACACACCUGACUAAAUGUACCCAGGCAAGAUGGAGGAAAUAUCAUACCUUGUCAACAACGUGUGUAAAAAAUGGGCAUCAUUAUUUAUAACUAUUUUAAGUCCUACUAACUAGGGUAGGUAAUAGUAUUCUACCCUGCCAUGACCAGGCCACUCCUGGGGCACUGAGUUUAAUACUCAGGGCGUUCAGGAGACCCAUCUAUUCACCGAUUCACCUUGGCUGCUUUUGCACCAAAAUAGAAGAGUGGAGUAGUUGCAAUAGAGCUGAAAAUAUUUACUAUCUAUCUGGUUCCUUAAAGAAAAAAUUUUCUGUGCCCUGAUCUGAACCAGUGUUUUCUAAACCUUGAUUAUACUCCCACCUCCUUAAUCUUUUUUGUGUAUGGCAUCUUUGAAGUCCAUUUACACUAUUAUUUACUUUGUAAUUUUUUAAGUCAGUACGGUAUUUUUUAAAAAUUUAAACACUAUUGUAACCUCAUCCUAAGCAAAUGAUAUCUUUGUAAUAACAGGUUUUGUAUGUAAAUCAUAUAGGUUUAUAACAUGUUAAGAUAUAUUUUUAUAUUUGUAAUACAUAUAUUUUCAAUAUUGAUAUAUGCAUAAGUACAUACAAUAUUCAAUAAAAUAUUAAAACUAA
Homo sapiens (human) is the source of this 3559-nucleotide long non-coding RNA. RefSeq annotates it as PHACTR1 antisense RNA 5. The transcript has 4 exons. Lineage: Eukaryota; Metazoa; Chordata; Mammalia; Primates; Hominidae. The record is from RefSeq and is a predicted model, not a curated record.